UGUCCUACGGGACGCAGCAGUGGGGAAUAUUGCACAAUGGGGGAAACCCUGAUGCAGCGACGCCGCGUGAGCGAAGAAGUAUUUCGGUAUGUAAAGCUCUAUCAGCAGGGAAGAAAAUGACGGUACCUGACUAAGAAGCUCCGGCUAAAUACGUGCCAGCAGCCGCGGUAAUACGUAUGGAGCAAGCGUUAUCCGGAUUUACUGGGUGUAAAGGGAGCGCAGGCGGUCCGGCAAGUCUGAUGUGAAAGGCGGGGGCUCAACCCCCGGACUGCAUUGGAAACUGUCGGGCUGGAGUGUCGGAGGGG
RNAcentral lists this ribosomal RNA (305 nucleotides) under uncultured bacterium. Its description in RNAcentral is "bacterial SSU rRNA". It matches the Rfam family "Bacterial small subunit ribosomal RNA", at positions 335 to 657 of the family's 1533-position model. The record is from RNAcentral.